Molecule: microRNA, 20 nt
Filed under: Gossypium raimondii (Peruvian cotton)
Lineage: Eukaryota; Viridiplantae; Streptophyta; Magnoliopsida; Malvales; Malvaceae
Description: gra-miR7484c
Source: miRBase by way of RNAcentral
AGAAGUCGAAUUGCAUUUUG